CACGGAGUUAGCCGGAGCUUAUUCUCCCGGUACUGUCAUUAUCAUCCCGGGUAAAAGAGCUUUACAACCCUAAGGCCUUCAUCACUCACGCGGCAUUGCUGGAUCAGGCUUGCGCCCCAUUGUCCAAUAUUCCCCACUGCUGCCUCCCGUAGGAGUCUGGGCCGUGUCUCAGUCCCAGUGUGGCUGAUCAUCCUCUCAGACCAGCUAAAGAUCGUCGGCUUGGUGCGCCUUUACCACACCAACUACCUAAUCUUACGCGGGCUCAUCCCUCGGCGAUAAAUCUUUGGUACUUACGUCGUCAUCCGGUAUUAGCAGCCAUUUCUAGCUGUUAUUCCGGAACCAAGGGGCUAGAUUCCCACGCGUUACGCACCCGUGCGCCACUACUCACCCGAAGGCAAAUCGUUCGACUUGCAUGUGUUAGGCAUGCCGCCAGCGUUCGUUCUGAGCCAGGAUCAAACUCU
This 461-nucleotide ribosomal RNA is filed under the name uncultured Sphingomonadaceae bacterium. Its description in RNAcentral is "partial 16S ribosomal RNA". Lineage: Bacteria; Pseudomonadati; Pseudomonadota; Alphaproteobacteria; Sphingomonadales; Sphingomonadaceae. The record is from RNAcentral.